GUCGUAACAAGGUUUCCGUAGGUGAACCUGCGGAAGGAUCAUUAUCGUUCCUUCACCCGCACCGUGCGUACUGUGUCGUCGUUCUUCCUAGAGGUGAUCGAGAGAUCGAUCAUCUCGGAAGGCACCCCGCUCCGGCGGAAUCUUUGAGUCGUCGGAAGCGAUUCCGUCGUCUCUCCCCCUGGCGCGCGAGUGUACGCUCGCCGCCAACCAAGAUAGAAAAUCACACAACUCGCUUCGAUGGAUAUCUUGGCAUGAGCAACGAUGAAGAACGCAGCGAAAUGCGAUACGUAGUGCGAAUUGCAGAAUUCAGUGAAUCAUCGAAACUUUGAACGCAAAUGGCACUUUCAGCUUCCGGCUGGAAGUACACUUCCUCCAGUGGCGCCACCAACCCCCUCGGGCGCGCCCGCGCGCCCGGAUCGUGGUCGCUGCCUAAGCUUCGGCUUGGGCGCCGACUCAAGUGGCGAGCGCUCGUUGAUCCGCGCGUCGAUUGCUCCUUGCAAUCGAGCCGAUGUGCUAGUAGCUUCUCGCUUUGAUGUCAUCGGUCCUGCUCGGUUUGACGGCGCGGCGUGCGGUUAUCCCGCACGCUCCCCCCCUUUAUGUACCGCCAUGGAGUGACGUGAGGCUACCCGCUGAACUUAAGCAUAUCACUAAGCGGAGGAGAAGAAAACAACCGUGAUGCCCCUAGUAAUGGCGAAUGAAGAGGGCAGAGCUCACGCCGCCAAUCUGGCCGGCCUCGCGCCGCCCCGAAUUGUAGUCUAGAAAUGCGCCAUCGGCCGCGCCCGCCGCUCAAAUCCCUUGGAACAGGGUAUCGGAGAAGGUGAGAAUCCUGUACCGUGGCGGUCCGCGGCCGCACGAUGCGUUUUUACAGAGUCGGGUUGCUUGGGAUUGCAGCUUGAAGUGGGAGGUAAAUUCCUUCUAAAGCUAAAUAUUGGCUCAUGACCGAUAGCGAACAAGUACCGUGAGGGAAAGAUGCAAAGAACUUUGAAAAGAGAGUUAAAGAGUGCUUGAAAUCGGAGUGAGGAAACCCGUUUGCGCCCGGUUUCGCGCCAUCGACUCAGCCGUCUCGAAGCGGUGCACUUUGGUGGUGCGGGUCCUACGCGAUUACUAGUGUGUCACAACCACCCGGGGGGCUUCGGUGAGCCGGGACAUGUCACGCUGGUGAUUCCGUCGGACAGAACGGGCGCAACCGACCCGUCUAGAAACACGGACCAAGGAGUCUGACACGGAUGCGAGUACCCGGGUGGUAAGCCCGCGUGCGCAAUGAAAGUAAAGGGCGUGCUCCGCCAACCGACCUUGAUCUUCUGUGAAGGGUUUGAGUCGAGCAUCACUGUCGGGACCCGAAAGAUGGUGAACUAUGCGUGA
This 1362-nucleotide ribosomal RNA is filed under the name Chrysochromulina simplex. RNAcentral's name for it is "eukaryotic LSU rRNA". The stretch from base 603 to 1362 matches the Rfam family "Eukaryotic large subunit ribosomal RNA", at positions 1 to 840 of the family's 3401-position model. The record is from RNAcentral. Lineage: Eukaryota; Haptophyta; Prymnesiales; Chrysochromulinaceae.